RNAcentral lists this ribosomal RNA (1000 nucleotides) under Leuconostoc mesenteroides. RNAcentral describes it as "bacterial SSU rRNA". It matches the Rfam family "Bacterial small subunit ribosomal RNA", at positions 478 to 1477 of the family's 1533-position model. The record is from RNAcentral. Lineage: Bacteria; Bacillati; Bacillota; Bacilli; Lactobacillales; Lactobacillaceae.
CCCUCCCAGAAAGGGACGGCUAAAUACGUGCCCAGCAGCCGCGGUAAUACGUAUGUCCCGAGCGUUAUCCGGAUUUAUUGGGCGUAAAGCGAGCGCAGACGGUUUAUUAAGUCUGAUGUGAAAGCCCGGAGCUCAACUCCGGAAUGGCAUUGGAAACUGGUUAACUUGAGUGCAGUAGAGGUAAGUGGAACUCCAUGUGUAGCGGUGGAAUGCGUAGAUAUAUGGAAGAACACCAGUGGCGAAGGCGGCUUACUGGACUGCAACUGACGUUGAGGCUCGAAAGUGUGGGUAGCAAACAGGAUUAGAUACCCUGGUAGUCCACACCGUAAACGAUGAACACUAGGUGUUAGGAGGUUUCCGCCUCUUAGUGCCGAAGCUAACGCAUUAAGUGUUCCGCCUGGGGAGUACGACCGCAAGGUUGAAACUCAAAGGAAUUGACGGGGACCCGCACAAGCGGUGGAGCAUGUGGUUUAAUUCGAAGCAACGCGAAGAACCUUACCAGGUCUUGACAUCCUUUGAAGCUUUUAGAGAUAGAAGUGUUCUCUUCGGAGACAAAGUGACAGGUGGUGCAUGGUCGUCGUCAGCUCGUGUCGUGAGAUGUUGGGUUAAGUCCCGCAACGAGCGCAACCCUUAUUGUUAGUUGCCAGCAUUCAGAUGGGCACUCUAGCGAGACUGCCGGUGACAAACCGGAGGAAGGCGGGGACGACGUCAGAUCAUCAUGCCCCUUAUGACCUGGGCUACACACGUGCUACAAUGGCGUAUACAACGAGUUGCCAGCCCGCGAGGGUGAGCUAAUCUCUUAAAGUACGUCUCAGUUCGGAUUGUAGUCUGCAACUCGACUACAUGAAGUCGGAAUCGCUAGUAAUCGCGGAUCAGCACGCCGCGGUGAAUACGUUCCCGGGUCUUGUACACACCGCCCGUCACACCAUGGGAGUUUGUAAUGCCCAAAGCCGGUGGCCUAACCUUUAGGAAGGAGCCGUCUAAGCAGGACAGAUGUUGA